GGGGGUGACUUGGAUUCGACGCUGAUUACAAACCCUUAGGUGCAUGUCGUGAGUGUAGUGAAUCACGUUAAUCCCUUACUACAAAGUUAUAGUUGCAAACGACGAUAACUACGCACUAGCAGCUUAAGCCUGCUACGCAACACCUUCAGGUGCCUAUAACUAGAGGAUUUGUUGUGUCAUAUGAGAUGGGAUCGCCCGGAAGCUUUGUCUCAAGCGGAACGGUUAAAACUAAAGAGGCUCGCCCUAAACGCCCUGACCUUCGGGCCGUGCUGGGUUAACUUAAUAGAAGUGUCUAAGCAUGUAGAUCCUGAGGCAGAGGAUUGGCGGACGCGGGUUCGAAACCCGCCACCUCCACCA
This is a non-coding RNA of 357 nucleotides. It matches the Rfam family "transfer-messenger RNA". From Rfam's summary of the family: Bacterial tmRNA, also known as 10Sa RNA or SsrA, is named for its dual tRNA and mRNA-like properties. Its role is to liberate the mRNA from a stalled ribosome. The record is from Rfam.